Molecule: ribosomal RNA, 497 nt
Filed under: uncultured bacterium
Lineage: Bacteria
Description: partial 16S ribosomal RNA
Rfam family: Bacterial small subunit ribosomal RNA
Source: RNAcentral
GAUGAACGCUGGCGGCGUGCCUAAUACAUGCAAGUCGAGCGAACAGACGAGGAGCUUGCUCCUCUGACGUUAGCGGCGGACGGGUGAGUAACACGUGGAUAACCUACCUAUAAGACUGGGAUAACUUCGGGAAACCGGAGCUAAUACCGGAUAAUAUAUUGAACCGCAUGGUUCAAUAGUGAAAGACGGUUUUGCUGUCACUUAUAGAUGGAUCCGCGCCGCAUUAGCUAGUUGGUAAGGUAACGGCUUACCAAGGCGACGAUGCGUAGCCGACCUGAGAGGGUGAUCGGCCACUCUGGAACUGAGACACGGUCCAGACUCCUACGGGAGGUAGCAGUAGGGAAUCUUCCGCAAUGGGCGAAAGCCUGACGGAGCAACGCCGCGUGAGUGAUGAAGGUCUUCGGAUCGUAAAACUCUGUUAUUAGGGAAGAACAAAUGUGUAAGUAACUAUGCACGUCUUGACGGUACCUAAUCAGAAAGCCACGGCUAACUACGUG